RNAcentral lists this unclassified non-coding RNA (2744 nucleotides) under Agrilus planipennis (emerald ash borer). RNAcentral describes it as "uncharacterized protein ZC262.2, transcript variant X1". Lineage: Eukaryota; Metazoa; Arthropoda; Insecta; Coleoptera; Buprestidae. The record is from RNAcentral.
UGAAAACGCAGUUAAUAAGAAGUAAGUGCCAAUAAUUAUGUGUUUUUGUUACGUCUAAAAUGUUGGUGACUGAUUUUUUAUUAUUAAAUGCGAAAGGUUUAAAUAAAAAAAGGGAAAAUCAAGUGGUUAUGUAACAAUAACAAAUAUUAAUUACGGUCCUGUACGACCGUACCGGUAAUAAACGCUCAAUGCAUUCAAAAACAAACGUCAAACUUCAAUCAUUUUACUUUUUUUCAAAUAUAAAAUACAUUUAAAAUUAACAGUGUUAACAGAAUAUAUACUUUAAGAGAAUGUCGGCAGCCAAAAUAGUGGAAUUAACUGACGAAAACAUCUGUAAAAUAUGUGAAAAUGCUUAUGGGAAAUAUUCUUGUCCCCGUUGUAACAUUAAGUACUGUUCCUUAUCGUGCUAUCAGUCAGAAAAACAUCAACAGUGUUCAGAGUCAUUCUAUAAAGAUUGUGUAUAUCAGGACUUGGCAUUAGAUCAAAGUGAUCCUAAUUCAAAAGAAAGGAUGCUAGAAAUUUUAAAACGUGUACACGAAGAUAACAUUGGAAACGUAAACGAAGAUAUUCAAGAAGAGAAUGGCUCUGAUAAUUUGGAUUCUGAUGAUGAAGUUUACAUUGAUUUGAAUGAACGUUUAAAGGGGGUAAAUUUAGAUGAUGCAGAUAAAGUUUGGGAAAAAUUAACAUCAGAUGAGAGACAAGAAUUUGAAUCAUUUAUUAGGUCAGGAGAUGUAACUAAUUUAAUUGAAAAAUGGGAUCCAUGGUGGCUUUAUCGAUCAGAAAAGAAAGUUAUAGAAGUAGAAAAGACUGAGGAAUAUAAACAGAAAUGCCCUAAGAUUACAGAAGAUAUCAUGGCUUUCUCGACUUUGUGUAGUAAACCACCAGCCCCAUGUCUCAAAUUUAAUUUAAUCAACAUAAUCGGCUCUUACGCCUUUGUGACACGUUAUUUUAAUGGAGAGUACUAUGAUUUUGCCAAUGAGGCAGCUUCAACUAUAAUUUGUAUAUCUCUAGUACUUAGAGAAUCUCAUAAUUUUGAAGAUUCAGAUUCUGCUUUGGUUUCGAUUCACCAGGAAUGUAUAAAUAGCGAUUGGAUCACCAUUGAUCAAGAAAAUAUAGAUGUCUUGCAAGAAGACGUUAAAAAGAUCCUUCUUGGACCCACUUCGAGUGAUAGUAAAUAUUAUAUUAUGUGCGCUCUUUCGGAUCUUCAGAAGCUAAUUGAUGUUGCAAUUGAAACCCCAAAAGAAGAGAAAAAGAAAAGUAACUUUUUAGAUGCAUUAUCUGAUUAUGAAAUGCCGUCAACUAAACUUAUUCCUAAGAAGGAAAUGUUAAGGCAUUUAAAAAAAAUUGAAUUCUUUUUAUCAUAUGUAAAAGACUGCUUAGAAUGCUAAAUAAAAAUCCAAAUCUGAAUAAAUACUUUCAUCACAAUAAGUUUCUGUUUUUGUAAGAUAAUUUUCUAAUACUAAAGUUAACAAGUAUUUAUUUUCGGAAUUAAGUCAACCAUUUUCGAUCACAGUGUUCUCCCGUAAAAUAUACUCUAGGAACUUUGUUUUGCAACGGCGUCAUUUAGAUGUGAGAUAGAUAACUAUAGGAUUAAAUAAGGGUAAUUUAGAUAAAUUGUGCUCCUCUUCAAAGUACAAUUAGUUUGGGUUUCCCUGAUUUUUUCUAAUUUUGUAGUUGACCGGAAGAACCGAAAACUAACAAUUACGAAUAUACCAUUAAUGUGGUUAUUAACAUUCCCUAUCCCCAAUCAAAGGCUUUACUUUACAUAGUCGCAUGGUAAAUGUCAAACAAUAUUUUAGAAUAAUUCAAAUCAAAUGGAAAGCAAUUUGAGAACACCCAGUACAUGUUUUUACAUUUAUAUCUGUAGUUUUCCGCGAUUGGUUCUUGCUUAUAAUAAAAUCAAUAAACUUACUGUCAGCUGUCAUUUUACGUCCAAUUAGGUGUAAUAAGGUAUUGUCGUCAUAUUUAUCUAUAAAGUCUGAAGCAAGUUAUAAUAAUACUGUUAUUUAUUUAAAUUAUUCAUUUUAAUAUUUAUCAGAAUAAAACAUGCACUCGUUGGUGGGUUAUGGAAGUGAUGAUGAUUUGGACGAAUCACCACCCCCACGAAAAUCGUAUGACGCAAAAGAACAUCGUCUUCCUACUUAACAGGCCUGGCAGUUGGGGAACCAAAUUGGUUUUCAAAGUCAGACCCGCCUUCGUUCAGUUCAACCGUCGCAAGCUGAUGUUAAUUAUGAGGAAGUACAGAUGGAUCUUAGUGAGUGGUUUCGAGAGUACACCAACUGCCUUGUUCUGAUAGUGAACAUCAAGAUGAGCCAUCGGUAAGUACUUGUCGGUCUGGACAACCAGAUAACGACUGAAAUUAGUUUCUACCAUAGUUUUCUUCCAUACCAUUUUGUUGUUUAAGCAGUCCAUUAUAAUGAUUUAUAACUGUCAAAAAUGAAUUCUUAUCUUUUUAUUAUUGUGUCUAAGAUACUUAAAGUAAGUAAUUAUUAAUAUCAGUAAAAAUAAAAUGUUAUAUCAAAAUAAUGACCAUAAAACUGCUACACAUCAUGUUAAAUCUUACAUGCAUAAUGUAAAUUAAAAUUUAUUUGCUUAAGUUAAUAAUCAUUAUUUAAAAUACAAAAUUGUACAACGAAUUUAAUCUUGCAAAUUAAUUAGAAUUAACGAAAAAACGUUUUUGGUUAUUCAGAGACUUGUUUGUAAGCAUUGCUUGGAUAUGAUUGCCAACAAUUUACAUUUUUAAA